UUUAAAAAAAAAAAUUUAAAAAAGAAGAACUAAAGGUGUAAAUGAAAAUUGCAUUUAGAGAGAACAUCAUAACUACAUUGAAAGCUUUUGAAUGCUAUCAGGCUAUCUCAGAGCACACCGUUUUUCACAAUUCAUUGUCAAAAGAAAUCAUGAAAAUGUAAACAGGAAGAAAAAAAAAGGUUGGCAGUGCCUGGGCUGUUUCCAGAAGCAAAUGAUUGGCCCCAAGUACAGUUACUACCUCUCCACUUAUUGAUAUACUGUAAAGGUGAAGACAUGGCGCUGUGGAUGAUAGAGCACUGUGUGUUUGCCUACGACAGUUACAUGAAGAAUAACAAGUCUGUCACAGCAGUUCAGCGUGAGUUUUGGUGCCACUUCAACAUUGACUGAAGUCAGGCUGUUCCCAUCUGUAACACAAUAUUUAUAUUGGGGGAAUGAAUGCACUUUGUACACAAGGUACACUAAUGAAUAGGAGACCAGAGGGGGCACCAAAAAUGGUACAGACCCGGGAAAAUAUGGAGCACGUCAGACAAGCUUUCAGAAAUGCAUCAAUGAAAACAGACACUACAUGAUGGAUGAUGUUUUCCACACUUGAUUUUGACAAAUGCUAAUUCAAUACGAAUAAAUUUGUUUGC
This is a long non-coding RNA of Octopus sinensis (East Asian common octopus), 632 nucleotides long. RefSeq lists it as uncharacterized. The record is from RefSeq and is a predicted model, not a curated record. NCBI's taxonomy places the organism in Eukaryota, Metazoa, Mollusca, Cephalopoda, Octopoda, Octopodidae. The transcript is spliced from 3 exons.